Molecule: ribosomal RNA, 465 nt
Filed under: Vreelandella stevensii
Lineage: Bacteria; Pseudomonadati; Pseudomonadota; Gammaproteobacteria; Oceanospirillales; Halomonadaceae
Description: partial 16S ribosomal RNA
Rfam family: Bacterial small subunit ribosomal RNA
Source: RNAcentral
CCUACGGGCGGCUGCAGUGGGGAAUAUUGGACAAUGGGCGAAAGCCUGAUCCAGCCAUGCCGCGUGUGUGAAGAAGGCCUUCGGGUUGUAAAGCACUUUCAGUGGGGAAGAAAGCCUUGGGGCUAAUACCCUCGAGGAAGGACAUCACCCACAGAAGAAGCACCGGCUAACUCCGUGCCAGCAGCCGCGGUAAUACGGAGGGUGCGAGCGUUAAUCGGAAUUACUGGGCGUAAAGCGCGCGUAGGCGGUCUGAUAAGCCGGUUGUGAAAGCCUCGGGCUCAACCUGGGAACGGCAUCCGGAACUGUCAGGCUAGAGUGCAGGAGAGGAAGGUAGAAUUCCCGGUGUAGCGGUGAAAUGCGUAGAGAUCGGGAGGAAUACCAGUGGCGAAGGCGGCCUUCUGGACUGACACUGACGCUGAGGUGCGAAAGCGUGGGUAGCAAACAGGAUUAGAUACCCGAGUAGUC